Long non-coding RNA from Leopardus geoffroyi (Geoffroy's cat), 396 nucleotides. RefSeq lists it as uncharacterized. NCBI's taxonomy places the organism in Eukaryota, Metazoa, Chordata, Mammalia, Carnivora, Felidae. The transcript has 2 exons. The record is from RefSeq and is a predicted model, not a curated record.
UUUAGGCCAUUGUGAGGGAGAGAAUCAUGAUUCCUAAAUCUGUAUUUCCAGCUGGAAUUCUCCUCAUCUGUCAAUAGACUAACCCACUGACGCCCUGGAGAGAAUCCAGAGCAGGCUGUCUUUUCCUCACCCUCAGGCAUUUCCCAGCACAAAGAGGAAUUUACCCCAAAAUGGGGACAGGAUUUGCCCAGAUGCAAGCCUUACAAGAAGAAAAAAGAAGAGAGAGGCGGGAGAAGGGAGUGAGGUUCUGAAAUACCCAACACGAAUGGAAGUUGGGAAAAAGAGAGCCUGUCACAAAAGUACUCAUAAACAGAAAUUAAUCUGACUGACAGAGCAUAACAUUUAAAAUAACUUGGUGGGGAAAUGCAUAUGUUUAUUCAUAAAUAAAAAGGGAAA